This 497-nucleotide ribosomal RNA is filed under the name uncultured bacterium. RNAcentral describes it as "partial 16S ribosomal RNA". It matches the Rfam family "Bacterial small subunit ribosomal RNA", at positions 28 to 507 of the family's 1533-position model. The record is from RNAcentral.
GAUGAACGCUGGCGGCGUGCCUAAUACAUGCAAGUCGAGCGAACGGACGAGAAGCUUGCUUCUCUGAUGUUAGCGGCGGACGGGUGAGUAACACGUGGAUAACCUACCUAUAAGACUGGGAUAACUUCGGGAAACCGGAGCUAAUACCGGAUGAUAUUUUGAACCGCAUGGUUCAAAAGUGAAAGACUGUCUUGCUGUCACUUAUAGAUGGAUCCGCGCUGCAUUAGCUAGUUGGUAAGGUAACGGCUUACCAAGGCAACGAUGCAUAGCCGACCUGAGAGGGUGAUCGGCCACACUGGAACUGAGAAACGGUCCAGACUCCUACGGGAGGCAGCAGUAGGGAAUCUUCCGCAAUGGGCGAAAGCCUGACGGAGCAACGCCGCGUGAGUGAUGAAGGUCUUCGGAUCGUAAAACUCUGUUAUUAGGGAAGAACAUAUGUGUAAGUAACUGUGCACAUCUUGACGGUACCUAAUCAGAAGGCCACGGCUAACUACGUG